ACAUACUGCACCUGCCAUACACCACUGUUUGUUUCCCGACAAAACACGGGAAAAGCCAAGAAAAUUCGAAGCCUCCACGCCUUUUUCGGCUCCAGUCUCCCUGUCCUCCAACAGGUUUAUCGCUCUUACAUUUUUCAUCACGCUUGAAUUGAACGGCUCGAUCAAACAAAAGAUAGUUCAAAAUAUGAACUCUAUACUUCUAAGUAGUGUUUAACAGCAGCUUAAAUAUUUAUUUCUUAAAUUUUAUCAUUCUGGUGAUAAAACCAAAUUUAAUUUGGAAACCAUGUCGUUUUUGUCGCUUCAUGGUGGUGCAAAUCCUCUCAUCUUGUUUUGCCCCAAAUAUAAUGUGACAUAUAGGUUAUUAAAUUUUUCUUGUAAUUAUUCAAUGAAAAGUUAUGUUAAAGAGGUUAGGUUUAGUGUAAACAAGCAGAAGAAUCUGAGUACUAAGUGCCCAAAUGAGGAAUUUUCGGGUGAGUCAUACAACGAGUUGAUUCAGAAAUUCUGUAGUGUAGGGGAUAUUGACAAGGCUAUGGCUCUUCUUGCUGAGUUGGAGGCUUUAGGGUUUCGUCCGAAUUUGGUUUCUUAUGAGGCAUUGAUUGAAGGCCUUGGGAGUGUCAGUAGGACUUUAGAAGCUGAUGCGAUUUUCCAAGAGAUGAUUUGGUUUGGGUUGAAGCCAAAAGUGUGGUUGUUUAACGCUUUGCUAAAAGGGUUUUUGAGGAAAGGCCUUUUAGGACUUACAGUUAGGGUUUUGGUGGUGAUGGAUGAAAUGGGUGUGUGGAGGAAUCGAGAGACUUUUGAGAUUCUGUUGGAUUAUUAUGUUAAGGCUGGUCGGUUGGAAGACACAUGGUCGAUAAUCAAUGAGAUGAAGAGAAAGGGGUUUCGGUUGAAUUCAUUUGUGUAUAGUAAGGUUAUUGGCCUUUAUAGGGACAAUGGGAUGUGGAAGAAAGCUAUAGGCAUUGUGGAGGAGAUUAAGGAGAAGGGAUUGUCACUAGAUAGGCAGAUUUAUAAUAGCAUUAUUGAUACAUUUGGAAAAUAUGGUGAAUUGGUUGAGGCAUUAGAAGUGUUUGAGAAAAUGCAACAAGAAGGUAUAAGGCCAGAUAUAAUGACAUGGAAUUCUUUGAUUCGGUGGCACUGUAAGGCAGGUGAUAUUGGUAAGGCUCUUGAGUUGUUCACUGAAAUGCAAGAGCAACGGCUUUAUCCUGAUCCAAAAAUUUUCAUGACCAUCAUUAGCAUUUUGGGAGAGCAAGGGAAGUGGGAUGUGAUAAAGAGGAAUUUUGAGAAUAUGAAAUACAGGGGGCAUAAAGAAGUCGGAGCCAUUUAUGCAAUUUUAGUUGACAUUUAUGGUCAGUAUGGGAGAUUUCAUGAUCCAGAAGAGUGCAUAUCUGCUCUGAAGUCAGAAGGUCUUCAACCAUCUGCUACCAUGUUUUGCAUCUUAGCAAAUGCUUAUGCUCAGCAGGGAUAUUGUGAACAGACUGUUAAGGUGCUGCAGCUCAUGGAACCAGAAGGAAUUGAACCAAAUUUGAUAAUGCUAAAUGUGUUGAUUAAUGCAUUUGGGAUCGCUGGUAGACAUAUGGAAGCAUUAUCUAUUUAUCAACUUAUAAAAGAAAGUGGUAUUAGUCCUGACUUGGUGACAUAUAGUACACUUAUGAAGGCAUUUAUACGAGCAAGGAAGUUUGAUAAGGUGCCCGAAAUAUACAAAGAAAUGGAAUCUUCUGGAUGCACCCCAGAUAGAAAGGCUAGAGAGAUGUUGCAAACAGCAUUAAUGGCCCUUCAACAGAGGCAUUAGCAUGAUGGCUUCACCUGAUGGAUGCUCUAUUUCACAUCUGAAUCUUGGGCCUGCUACUUCACUGUAAUCAUAAGACUAAACAAGGUUGCCCGUGUGGCCAACAUUUGGUCUUGGAAUGUGAUGAAAUUUGAUUUGGAGUGAAUAUACGACUGGGAUCGGAUGUAUCAUGGAGCAGGUUUCUGUCUGGUUGAAGGCCCUCUCUUGACCAGCUCCUUAGAUGUCUAUGAUAUUUUGAAGUUGGGAUUAUAGAGUGUGGUGUGGGAUUGCUGAAGUUACCGUCUUUGGAAAAUUAACUCAGGAGAUAAGGCUCAUCGCUUAGCAAGUAAAGUAUGUGUAUAAUAACAACAUUUUUUAUCAAGGUCAUCUCUGAAUAAUUUUUUGCUUGGCUGGAUGAAUGAUGGUUCUAAAAAGGUGAGACGGCCACAUAUUUUCACGGUCGUUUGGUGUUGAUAUGCAUGAAUAGAAUGUUGAGUAUUCUUGACAGUCCUACGGUGGAGGAUAAGACUUUAUAUUACUUGUGACUUACUUCAUAUAUUCCAACUGGCAAAAGCACUGAGGGGAAGCAUUUCGAAGAAAAUAGUGCUUUUAUGAUCUGAACUUGAAUUUGCAAGGAAGUUGAAGAAUUUUUCAUUUUAGAUUGAAAUAUUGCGCAUGACUGAGUAAUAAUGCUGUAAUUUUGGUACUUCCCUUGUACUAUUUCCGGCUUCGCACUGUAUUGUAAAUCAGCUUUUUAUGUGCUAGAUUAAUGUGUGUUAAAAAUUGGAGGCUCGACAUUCUUAUAGAGUGCCAUGAUGAAACUAAGUGUAGAUGGAGUCGGACGAUAAAUUAGCAAAGUGUAGAUGAAACUGAAUUAUAUGGAAAAUGUUCAUAAGCAUAAGAGGUGGUGCCACUUCUAGGAGAAGAGCAGAAUUUGUGAGUAAAAUCUUCACUGCACUGGAUAAUGGAUCUUAAAGAAGCUACAGAAUGUGUCGGAUAAUCUUUUGUGCCAUAAUCUGACAGUUUAUGAGGCUGUAGAUCUAAAAUACAAGCUGGAAGCUUUCAGUUGAGUUCAACCUGAAAUAUGAAGUUCUCUAUGGUAAAUGAAGAAAGUGUUUGAGAGAGGUUACUUGAAGGCUCCUGGACUGAAGUGGGCUUAGGUAUGUUUAACCUUCGCAUUUGUAAUCUUUUAGGGAUUUAUGCACGGAUUGUUAUGUCAUUUUCCAUAACAUGGCCUAUAUUAUACACUUGAGUAGUCCCACGUGUUAUUUCAUCAAAUAAUAGUUAAUGUAUAUGUUUAUAUUAUAUCAGUAGAGGAAUUUUGCAGUCUGUUAA
Molecule: RNA transcript, 3097 nt
Organism: Mangifera indica (mango)
Lineage: Eukaryota; Viridiplantae; Streptophyta; Magnoliopsida; Sapindales; Anacardiaceae
Gene name: pentatricopeptide repeat-containing protein CRP1, chloroplastic-like
Exons: 6
Source: RefSeq, a predicted model, not a curated record